Molecule: ribosomal RNA, 497 nt
Filed under: uncultured bacterium
Lineage: Bacteria
Description: partial 16S ribosomal RNA
Rfam family: Bacterial small subunit ribosomal RNA
Source: RNAcentral
GACGAACGCUGGCGGCGUGCCUAAUACAUGCAAGUAGAACGCUGAAGAGAGGAGCUUACUCUUCUUGGAUGAGUUGCGAACGGGUGAGUAACGCGUAGGUAACCUGCUUUGUAGCGGGGGAUAACUAUUGGAAACGACAGCUAAUACCGCAUAACCUUGGAUGACACAUUUCAUUUAUUUGAAAGGGGCAAUUGCUCCACUACAAGAUGGCCCUGCUUUGUAUUAGCUAGUAGGUGAGGUACUGGCGCUCCUAGGCGACGAUACAUAGCCGACAGGAGAGGGUGGGUGGCCGGACUGGGAGGGAGACAGGGCACAGACGCCGUGGGGAGGGAGCAGUAGGGAAACUGGGGCAAUGGGGGGAACACUGACCGAGCAACGCCGAGUGAGUGAAGAAGGUUUUCGGAUCGUAAAGGACGGUUGUAAGUCAAGAACGGGUGUUAGAGUGGAAAGUUCACACUGUGACGGUAGCUGAUAAGAAAGGGACGGCUAACUACGUG